RNAcentral lists this long non-coding RNA (358 nucleotides) under Homo sapiens (human). RNAcentral describes it as "non-protein coding lnc-VPREB1-12:1". The record is from RNAcentral. Lineage: Eukaryota; Metazoa; Chordata; Mammalia; Primates; Hominidae.
AUAUAGAUAAUAGUUAAUAUAACAGUUUAACCAGUCUGUCUGUGGCUAAACCAGUCACCAUCUCCUGCACUGGAAGCAGCAACAAUAAGGGUCUUGGGCUUGUGUCCUGGUACCAACAAUGACCAGGAAGUGCCGCCAAACCUCUGAUACAUAUGUACGGAUCCAUAUAUUUAUAUCCAUAUCCUGCGGCGAAUAUCCACCUGCAGGGAUCCAGGACUGAAUCUCAGGCUACCGGUCUGGCAAGGAGGCAUUGCUGAGCAUCUCUGGGCUACAGGCUUAGGACAAGGCUGAUCUCUGCUGUUGGCUUUAGGCAGCUCCAUCGAGGUCCCCACAGUGCUGCAGUCUGGGGAACUGAGAC